GUGAGUGAUUACGAUUUCAACUGCAGCAGUUAGCCAACAGUUUCCAUCAUUUGGAGAUACAUCGACAAAGGCUGGCUACCAACAGAUGCACCCUUUGUUCGCGUUUCACCGAUGAAAAUGAAAGCCGAACGACAGUUCGACGCGUUUCCCGUGUUCGAUUUCGAGGCAUGCUUUUACCACGUUUCCGGCAAUCUGGAACGGCGGGGAACGUCGUUUCCAGUUGCACGAAAUUCGCCACGGCCAUUUCAUCGAUCGAUCUUCGAAGACUAUCCUGUUUCGGCCGUCGCUCUUCUCUUCCGCUCGCGUGAUCUCGCCCAAUGAGGCGCCGCAUUUUCUCGGUUCCCUUUUCGCACCGAGGAUUUAAAGUUUCGUCGUCGCGGCUUAACUGAAAUUGUUUCGUCCAAUUUCGUGCACGACCUCGAUUCAUCGUUUAAAGAUACGCGGGAUCGUGGAAAUAUUAAUCGAUAAUGGAGCGAGUAAAAAAAGAUGUAUUCUACGUUAAUACGUUCAUCUAAUCGCAUUGGGAAGAUUAUGAAAUCUAAUAGUAAUCGAUCUAGAUUAUCAAGAGAAUGAUCGAUUGGAAUUGGAAGAUAUGUAAGAAUUACUUGCAUCGAAGGGAAUGAUUUUAAUUCCGAAAUAAAACCCUAAAUAUCCUAAAAUUUC
Molecule: long non-coding RNA, 663 nt
Organism: Apis laboriosa (Himalayan honeybee)
Lineage: Eukaryota; Metazoa; Arthropoda; Insecta; Hymenoptera; Apidae
Exons: 3
Source: RefSeq, a predicted model, not a curated record